UGAGCGGAGAUAUAUGGAGCUUGCUUUAUAUAACUUAGCAGCGAACGGGUGAGUAACACGUAGAUAAUCUAUCCUAUACUGGGGGAUAGCCCGAUGAAAGUUGGAUUAAUACCGCAUAUAGCUAUAUAGUUGCAUGAUUAUGUAGUGAAAGAUUUAUUGGUAUAGGAGGAGUCUGCGGCACACUAGCUAGUAGGUGAGGUAAAGGCUUACCUAGGCGACGAUGUGUAGCCGGUCUGAGAGGAUGAACGGCCACAAUGGAACUGAGACACGGUCCAUACUCCUACGGGAGGCAGCAGUGGGGAAUAUUGCACAAUGGGGGAAACCCUGAUGCAGCAACGCCGCGUGAGUGAAGAAGGUUUUCGGAUUGUAAAGCUCUGUUAGCAGGGAAGAGGAAGGACGGUACCUGCAGAGGAAGCCACGGCUAACUACGUGCCAGCAGCCGCGGUAAUACGUAGGUGGCAAGCGUUGUUCGGAAUAACUGGGCGUAAAGGAUGCGUAGGCGGUUAAACAAGUUAUAUGUUAAAUAUAUAGGCUUAACCUGUAGAAAGCAUAUAAAACUGUUUAACUAGAGUGCAGGAGAGGUAAGUGGAAUUCCUAGUGUAGCGGUGAAAUGCGUAGAGAUUAGGAAGAACACCAGUGGCGAAGGCGACUUACUGGACUGUAACUGACGCUGAGGCAUGAGAGCAUGGGGAGCAAACAGGAUUAGAUACCCUGGUAGUCCAUGCUGUGAACGAUGGGUACUAGGUGUGGGUUGUGAAUAACAAUUCGUGCCGUCGCAAACGCAAUAAGUACCCCGCCUGAGGAGUACGAUCGCAAG
Molecule: ribosomal RNA, 817 nt
Filed under: uncultured bacterium
Lineage: Bacteria
Description: bacterial SSU rRNA
Rfam family: Bacterial small subunit ribosomal RNA
Source: RNAcentral